Molecule: ribosomal RNA, 274 nt
Filed under: uncultured prokaryote
Description: partial 16S ribosomal RNA
Rfam family: Bacterial small subunit ribosomal RNA
Source: RNAcentral
UACGUAGGGGGCUAGCGUUAUCCGGAUUUACUGGGCGUAAAGGGUGCGUAGGUGGUUUCUUAAGUCAGAGAUGAAAGGCUACGGCUCAACCGUAGUAAGCCUUUGAAACUGAGAAACUUGAGUGCAGGAGAGGAGAGUGGAAUUCCUAGUGUAGCGGUGAAAUGCGUAGAUAUUAGGAGGAACACCAGUUGCGAAGGCGGCUCUCUGGACUGUAACUGACACUGAGGCACGAAAGUGUGGGGAGCAAACAGGAUUAGAUACCCUGGUAGUCCCU